AUUCAGCUGAUGAAUGUCAAAUAUGAUGAAACGCGUGUCCUGGAU
Non-coding RNA from Schistosoma rodhaini, 45 nucleotides. The record is from Rfam. Lineage: Eukaryota; Metazoa; Platyhelminthes; Trematoda; Strigeidida; Schistosomatidae.